RNAcentral lists this long non-coding RNA (916 nucleotides) under Harpegnathos saltator (Jerdon's jumping ant). Its description in RNAcentral is "uncharacterized LOC112589090, transcript variant X6". The record is from RNAcentral. Lineage: Eukaryota; Metazoa; Arthropoda; Insecta; Hymenoptera; Formicidae.
UCUCUCUCUCUCUCUCUCUCUCUUUGUUCCCUGUUGCUACGUAUGUGUAAGUGCGGGUGUGCGUGUGCGCGUUUCUUUCUCGCCUCGUCACGCCUCGCUUCGUCCCGUCUCAUCUCUGUCUUCUCCUCUGCUCUCUUCUUCUCCUCUCCUCCUCUUGUUGUGUGUCUCCACCUCGACUUCGCUCGUUGCCGCGAAAGUGGCAGGUUUGCGCGAGCGAAUAAAAUCGGUGGAAGACGAUGUAGAGGAGAAGGAGGAAUAGAGAGGGAGGAGGAGGAGGGGGAGGAGGGAGAAAGGAGGAACUGAGGUGAUGAUAAUCGCGGAGGCGAGAAGAAACGCCGGGGAUGCCGUAAGAAAUCCCCCGUGCGUUACGGUGCGUGAAUGAAGUCGCGAAAUAGUCCAGGCGAAGAACGUAAUUCGGUGGUGACGACAACGAGGGGGUUGUGAGGACGGGCGAAGAAAUUGCGAAAGUGUGAGAAAGAUUUCAAGUGGGAGUGAUAAAUUUGAAAUUUCGGGCUCUUCUUCAGUUCGGCACGCUCCGCUGCCGAGAGUAAUUGCUAACGCGCCGCGAGGAUCCGAGAACUCAUAAGUGACGAGAGACGCGCUUAUCCCCGACAAAGGAGACACGACCAGGAGCUGAUUUCAGGACUCCUCCGAGCCACCCUCGCCGAGGCUCUUCAUGGCGGGCGAAUAAGAGACAACGGCAGCCGUGCGAUAGCUGACGGAUGGGAACAUGAUUCCGGUACGGCGGAUCCGGCGAACCCGACGGAAAGCCAGAAGAAGAGCGUCCUGAGGUCAACGAGACGCGGGCACUGCGGGGAUAUGGAUGCUCGCGAGGACGGCGGGGCCGCUCGAACGAGAGGCUCCAAUUUGUUGACUUAACGACCACUAUUCCGGGCGAAUCACGACGUGCGUCCGG